Molecule: ribosomal RNA, 497 nt
Filed under: uncultured bacterium
Lineage: Bacteria
Description: partial 16S ribosomal RNA
Rfam family: Bacterial small subunit ribosomal RNA
Source: RNAcentral
GAUGAACGCUGGCGGCGUGCCUAAUACAUGCAAGUCGAGCGAACAGACGAGGAGCUUGCUCCUCUGACGUUAGCGGCGGACGGGUGAGUAACACGUGGAUAACCUACCUAUAAGACUGGGAUAACUUCGGGAAACCGGAGCCAAUACCGGAUAAUAUAUUGAACCGCAUGGUUCAAUAGUGAAAGACGGUUUUGCUGUCACUUAUAGAUGGUUCCGCGCCGCAUUAGCUAGUUGGUAAGGUAACGGCUUACCAAGGCAACGAUGCGUAGCCGACCUGAGAGGAUGAUCGGCCACACUGGAACUGAGACACGGUCCAGACUCCUACGGGAGGCAGCAGUAGGGAAUCUUCCGCAAUGGGCGAAAGCCUGACGGAGCAACGCCGCGUGAGUGAUGAAGGUCUUCGGAUCGUAAAACUCUGUUAUUAGGGAAGAACAAAUGUGUAAGUAACUAUGCACGUCUUGACGGUACCUAAUCAGAAAGCCACGGCUAACUACGUG